RNAcentral lists this long non-coding RNA (387 nucleotides) under Theobroma cacao (cacao). RNAcentral describes it as "long non-coding RNA (TCAC_LNC002740)". Lineage: Eukaryota; Viridiplantae; Streptophyta; Magnoliopsida; Malvales; Malvaceae. The record is from RNAcentral.
CUCCUAUUUUCAAUACCCUGUAAGCUUCCUUGAUCCCACGCUGUGGGUCCGGCCAGUACUCAAUACUGAGGAACGCAAAAAGAAAGCCACAUAUAAUAUCAGAGACAAACCUUACAAAGAACCUAGAUUGAACAUGCACCAAUAUAUAAUUGAACAUCUAAAAAACUAAAAAUAUGAAAAGAAUGCCAUUGUUUAAUGUAACAAAUCUCUAAAGCUAUAUUCCUCAAUUUCCCAUUCAAAGCGUACAAAUGACUAUCACUACCAAAAGUGCUCUAAAAGGAACCCAAUUUUACAAUUCUCCAAAAACUGCUUAUAGACAUAAAGAUUAUUUUGCAUAACUGAAAAAAUUAUGGGAAAUUUUUAAUAUAAGAACGGUAAAGGGAGAUA